Molecule: ribosomal RNA, 660 nt
Filed under: uncultured Duganella sp.
Lineage: Bacteria; Pseudomonadati; Pseudomonadota; Betaproteobacteria; Burkholderiales; Oxalobacteraceae
Description: bacterial SSU rRNA
Rfam family: Bacterial small subunit ribosomal RNA
Source: RNAcentral
GACGCUGGCGGCAUGCUUACACUAUGCAGUCGAACGGCAGCACGGGAGCAUCCUGGUGGCGAGUGGCGACGGGUGAGUAAUAUAUCGGAACGUGCCCAGUCGUGGGGGAUAACGCAGCGAAAGCUGUGCUAAUACCGCAUACGAUCUACGGAUGAAAGCGGGGGAUCGCAAGACCUCGCGCGAUUGGAGCGGCCGAUAUCAGAUUAGCUAGUUGGUGAGGUAAAGGCUCACCAAGGCAUCGAUCAGUAGCUGGUCUGAGAGGAUGACCAGCCACACUGGAACUGAGACACGGUCCAGACUCCUACGGGAGGCAGCAGUGGGGAAUUUUGGACAAUGGGGGCAACCCUGAUCCAGCAAUGCCGCGUGAGUGAAGAAGGCCUUCGGGUUGUAAAGCUCUUUUGUCAGGGAAGAAACGGUGAGGGCUAAUAUCCCUUGCUAAUGACGGUACCUGAAGAAUAAGCACCGGCUAACUACGUGCCAGCAGCCGCGGUAAUACGUAGGGUGCAAGCGUUAAUCGGAAUUACUGGGCGUAAAGCGUGCGCAGGCGGUUUUGUAAGACUGUCGUGAAAUCCCCGGGCUCAACCUGGGAAUGGCGAUGGUGACUGCAAGGCUAGAGUUUUGGCAGAGGGGGGUAGAAUUCCACGUGCAGCACUGAAAUGC